RNAcentral lists this non-coding RNA (393 nucleotides) under Citrobacter farmeri. The record is from RNAcentral. Lineage: Bacteria; Pseudomonadati; Pseudomonadota; Gammaproteobacteria; Enterobacterales; Enterobacteriaceae.
AGUACUGUCGAGCGGUUUGAUAAACAGGCUGUUAUCGCGCAGCGACACAUCGCCUUUUGCGGUAACCCGUUCGCCGUCCAGCGGGAUAUCCAGAUGUAAGCGAGCAUUCACAUCGCCGUCGAUCUGCAACUGCUCAAGCGUGGCACCCAGCGAUGUUUUCAACGGUGUGUCAUCAAAAUAUGGUCCCACCGCCUUGCCCGGCCCCUGAAUAUCGGCGUCAAUCAGCAACUUUUCUUUCGCGUAGUCCGGGAUAAUAGCCGUCAGAUUCGUGGCCUUCACGCCGCCUAAAUUAACGCCAUCGGUUUUCAUCCACAGGCCGUCGUUAAGGAAAUCCAGCUCAAUAUUCAGAUCGGUCAGCGCCGGCCAGUCCGGUUGAAAAGCAAAUUUUGCAUU